UCCCAGGUGGCUUAGUGGUGAAGAAUCUGCCUGCCAAGCAGGAGAUGCAGGUUCGAUCCCUGGGUUGGAAA
Molecule: transfer RNA, 71 nt
Organism: Ovis aries (sheep)
Lineage: Eukaryota; Metazoa; Chordata; Mammalia; Artiodactyla; Bovidae
Rfam family: tRNA
About the family: Transfer RNA (tRNA) molecules are approximately 80 nucleotides in length. Their secondary structure includes four short double-helical elements and three loops (D, anti-codon, and T loops).
Source: Rfam